Prunus dulcis (almond) is the source of this 13600-nucleotide RNA transcript. It is a transcript of the gene named serine/threonine-protein kinase SMG1-like, with no coding region annotated. The transcript is spliced from 16 exons. NCBI's taxonomy places the organism in Eukaryota, Viridiplantae, Streptophyta, Magnoliopsida, Rosales, Rosaceae. The record is from RefSeq and is a predicted model, not a curated record.
AUCGCCGGAAAACCAACAAAAAAAACCCAAAAACAAAAGAAAGACUUCGGAAAACAGAAGACAAUUACGUUGAAGCCGAAAGAGAGAGACAAACCAGAGCAGAGCAGCAACAACAAACAAAGCCAAUAGAAAGCUCGAGCCAGAGUUUAGAAAGUCGACUCAGUCGAGUGAGAAUGAGAGAUGCUAAAACUACAGAAGCAGCAGCAAGAGAAUGAUGCAGGGUCUUCAUCACCAACAGCAGCAACUCGCGGCGCUUCUCUCCGUCGCGCUUCCCAAGGACGAUUCGGCUUCCGCCUCGGCCCCAUCCUCUAACUCGGACGACGACGACUCGGCUCGACUCGCCGCCAUCAACUCUCUUCACCGCGCCGUUCUUUACCCGCCCAACUCGCUCCUCGUCACUCACUCCGCCACUUUUCUCGCCCAGGGCUUUUCGCAGCUUCUCUCCGAUAAAUCGUAUGCGGUGAGGCAAGGGGCAGCUGUAGCGUACGGGGCUCUUUGUGCCAUGGUUUCUUCGAUCCCUAUAACGUCAAAUGGAAGACAAAACCAUGUUAUGCUGGGAAGCUUGGUUGACCGGUUCAUUGGUUGGGCGUUGCCGUUGCUUAGCAAUGGCGGCGCUGGAGAAGGGACCAUGGAAUUGGCAUUGGAUAGCCUACGGGAGUUUCUUAAUGUUGGGGAUGUUGGUGGGGUUGAGAGAUAUGCUUUGUCAAUUCUCAAAGCAUGUCAAGUACUUCUCGAGGAUGAGAGAACCUCCUUGAGUCUGUUACAUCUGCUUCUCGGUGUUUUAACAUUGAUUUCGUUAAAGUUUUCUAGAUGCUUCCAGCCUCAUUUUCUUGACAUUGUUGAUCUUCUUCUCGGGUGGGCUUUGGUACCAGACCUUGCUGAAUCGGAUAGACGAAUAAUAAUGGAUAGUUUUUUGCAAUUUCAGAAUCAUUGGGUGGGUAAUUUGCAGUUUUCUGUUGGACUGCUGUCGAAGUUUCUAGGUGACAUGGAUGUUUUGCUUCAGGAUGUAAGUCAUGGAACCCCACAACAAUUUCGAAGGUUGCUUGCAUUGCUUUCUUGUUUUUCAACAAUUUUGCAGUCCACUGCUUCUGGGUUGCUGGAAAUGAAUUUACUUGAACAAAUCACUGAACCCCUUAACAGAAUUGUUCCUCGUUUAUUGGGAUGUUUAUCUAUGGUUGGAAGGAAAUUUGGGUGGUUGGAAUGGAUUGGGGAUUUAUGGAAGUGUUUGACUCUGUUGGCAGAAAUAUUUUGUGAAAGGUUUUCCACUUUUUAUCCCCUUGCAUUUGAUAUUUUAUUUCAAAGUUUGGAAGUGGACAAUACUUCCCAACCAAUGGGAAGUGGAAGAAUUACCUCCUUUCAAGUUCAUGGAGUUUUAAAAACUAAUCUCCAAUUAUUGUCCUUGCAAAAGUUUGGCCUUCUCCAAUCAUCUGUGCAGAAAAUAUUGCAAUUUGAUGCUCCAAUAUCUCAGCUGCGUUUGCAUCCUAAUCACCUAGUAACUGGCAGUUCGGCUGCCACUUAUAUUUUCUUGCUUCAACACGGGAAUAAUGAAGUUGUUGAACAAGUGUUGACAUCUUUAACAGAGGAGCUGGAGUUGUUGAAGGGCAUGUUAGAGAAAGCCACGGGUCUUGGAGAUGAGGUUGUUGGAUGCUCUAAAUUGUAUUCAAAACUUGAAUUGUUUGCAUUGAUUAAAUUUGAUUUGAAAGUUAUGUUGACAUCUGUUUUCUGGGGUGGGGAGAACAGUUUGACUUGUCAACUAGACAUUGCAACCCUAUAUCUUAUGAGGUCAGAAAAAUUGUUGGAUUUUAUCAUAGAGAAAUUUAAUCCUUUUGACUUACCUGUUAUGGCAUAUGUGGAUUUGCAAGUCAAUGUUAUCAAGACAUUAGACAGGUUAACAACAGUUAAAUUCUUAAGCAAGUGCUCUAUAACAUAUCAGAGUAGUGGGAAAUCAUCACCAGUUGUGACUGCUGAUAAAUUACUUAAUGGCAAUUAUUUGACAAAUGAACUAUCAGUUGUGGUUGUUGAGAAUCUGAGGAAGUACAGUAUGUUCUUUGUGAAAGCUCUCCAUGUUUCUUCUCCGCUUGCAGUUAAAACAGUUGCGCUAGAUUGGGUUCAAAGUUUUGGUGAGAAUGUUAUUGCUAUUAACGAGAAAUCAAACACAGAAACUGAUUUCUAUGAAGUGUAUGGUAAUAUUAAGAUUAUUGGGAAUAUGCUUUUCUCAAUUUUGGAUGCUGCAUCUGACAGGGAACCAAAUGUGAGGUCACAUGUUGCAUUAGUAUUGGAGUUGUUACUGCAGGCAAGGAUUAUACAUCCUCGCUACUUUUAUUGUUUGGCUGAAGUGGUCCUAGGAAAACUUGGUGAUCCAGAUAGUGAUAUAAAAAAUGCAUUCGUUCGGUUGCUUGCUAUUGUUGUGCCUACUACAUUGUAUGCAUGUGGGCUUCAUGAUUAUGGGACAUCUACUUCUUCUAGGGCUGUUGCUCUUCGGUUAGGCAAUAGUUCUAACUUGCAAUGGAAGCAAGGAUUUGCCUUGAAGCAGCUCCCUCAGCAACUUCACUCCCAACAACUUGUUACCAUAUUGAGUUACAUAUCCCAAAGGUGGAAGGUGCCUCUUUCCUCUUGGAUCCAACGGCUUAUUCAUAGUUGUCGGAGUUCAAAAGACCUUCCAAUUCAACUUGAGGAAACAGGAAAUUUUGGUGCCAUUGGUGUGUGGUUGGACAUAAAAAUGGAGGAAGACUUUCUUGAAAAGCAUUGCUCAGUUAAUAAUCUGGCUGGUGCCUGGUGGGCUGUUCAUGAAGCUGCUAGAUAUUGUAUUGCCACACGCCUUCGGACUAACCUUGGUGGGCCAACCCAGACCUUUGCAGCAUUAGAGCGAAUGCUUUUGGACGUUGCACACCUGCUAAUGCUUGACAGUGAGCAAAAUGAUGGGAAUUUAAGUAUGAUAGGGUCAUCUGGUGCUCAUUUGUUACCAAUGAGGUUACUAUUCGAUUUUGUUGAGGCGCUGAAGAAAAAUGUAUAUAAUGCAUAUGAGGGAUCUGCUGUUUUACCGUCUGCUACUCGCUCUAGUUCCUUAUUCUUUCGAGCUAACAAGAAAGUCUGUGAGGAGUGGUUUUCUCGUAUUUGUGAGCCAAUGAUGAAUGCUGGAUUAGCUCUCCAAUGCCAUGAUGCUACAAUUCAGUAUUGUGCUCUGCGUUUACAGGAGCUGAGGAAUCUUGUGGCUUCAGCUUUGAAUGAAAAGUCUAGGUCACAAGUAACUGAGAACCUUCAUAAUAUCAGAGGCAGAUUUUCUGCAGACAUCUUGAGGGUUGUACGGCACAUGGCAUUGGCUCUGUGUAAGACUCAUGAAUCAGAGGCUUUACAUGGCCUGGAAAAAUGGGUUUCAAUGACACUCGCUCCCUUUCUUGUGGAGGAAAACCAGUCCCUCAGUAACAGUAGGGUGUUGGGACCCUUUACAUGGAUCACUGGGCUUGUAUAUCAGGCAGAAGGUAAAUAUGAAAAGGCUGCUGCGCACUUUAUUCACUUGCUACAGGCUGAGGAGUUGUUGAGUUCCUUGGGUUCUGAUGGUGUACAGUUUGUCAUUGCUCGCAUCAUUGAGUGUUAUACUUCUGUUUGUGAUUGGAAAUCUUUAGAAUCCUGGUUAUCAGAAUUGCAAACACUUCGUGCUAAGCAUGCUGGGAAGAGUUAUUGCGGUGCUCUCACAACGACAGGCAAUGAAAUUAAUGCAAUCCAUGCCUUGGCACGGUAUGAUGAGGGUGAAUUUCAGGCAGCAUGGGCAUGCCUUGGUUUGACACCUAAAAGUAGCAGUGAGCUCACCCUUGAUCCGAAAUUGGCCUUGCAAAGAAGUGAGCAGAUGCUUUUACAGGCAAUGCUUCUUCAGAAUGAGGGAAAGGAAGAUAAGAUGCCACAUGAAUUACAGAAGGCCAGGUCAAUGCUGGAGGAAACAUUGUCUAUUCUGCCGCUUGAUGGAUUAGAAGAAGCAGCAGCAUAUGCUACCCAGUUGCACUGCAUCAUUGCAUUUGAAGAAUUUUACAAGAUUAAAGACAACCAAGAUAAACCCAGGCAACUUCAGUCAAUAUUAAGUUCAUACGUCCAACUUAUGCAUCCACAAAUGGGUAGAGUCUAUCUAGAUUGUAACCCUUGGUUAAAAGUUCUGCGAGUUUAUCAAACCAUUUCCCCAAUUUCUCCUGCGACUCUAAAGCUUUCUAUGAAUUUGUUGAGCUUGGCCCGCAAACAACAAAACCUACUGUUGGCAAACCGUCUGAACAACUAUCUCCAAGAUCACAUAUUGAGUUGUUCCAGGGAAAGGCACCAUGACUUUCUCACCUCAAAUUUGCAGUAUGAGGGCAUCCUGCUAAUGCAUGCUGAAAACAAGUUUGAAGAUGCUUUGACGAACCUUUGGUCUUUUGUGCGUCCUUGCAUGGUUUCUUCACUGUCUAUAGUUUCUGACGCUGACAAUAGUAUUCUGAAGGCCAAGGCAUGCUUGAAACUCUCAAAUUGGCUUAAACAGAACUAUUCAGAUUUGAGGUUAGAUGACAUUGUUCUUAAUAUGCGGUCAGACUUUGAGAUGGCUGAUUACUCUUCUCCUGGAACGGGUAGGCCCUCAUUUGGCGAUGAGAUCUUAAGCUCUAAACCACCUUUGGGUCCUAUCAUUGAGGAAAUUGUGGGUACAGCUACAAAAUUGUCUACUCGUCUCUGUCCCACUAUGGGAAAAUCCUGGAUUUCUUAUGCCUCUUGGUGUUUUAGUAUGGCCCAGGAUUCUCUCUUAACCCCAAAUGAAAACACCCUUCACUCAUGCUCAUUUUCUCCCACCCUUGUUCGUGAAGUUCUGCCUGAGAGAUUCAAGCUAACUGAAGAUGAGAUCAUAAAAGUGGAAUCUUUGAUUUUUCAGCUCAUUCAGAAUAAGGAUGACAAGGGUUUUAGAGUUGAACAGGGAGAUUCGAACUACUCUCUUGAUUCUGCUGAACUGAGAAAUAACAACCCUGUGAUGGCUUUGGUGCAACAAGUAGUGAGUAUCAUUGAAGCUGUUUCUGGGGGACCUGGUGCAGAAGAUUGUAGUGACGAUUGCUUUUCUGCUACUCUAGCUUCUCAGUUGAAGAUCUGCUUUCUUCGUGCAAAUUUUGGCAUAAAUGAAACCGAUAUAAUUUCUGUAGUUGAUGAUUUAGUUGUUGUCUGGUGGUCUUUGAGGAGGAGAAGAGUGUCACUCUUUGGGCAUGCAGCUCAUGGCUUUAUAAAGUAUCUUUCGUAUUCAUCCGCUAAAAUUUGCAAUGGUGGCUUGGUUGACUCUGAUUUUGAGCCUCUGAAGCAAAAAGCUGGCAGCUAUACUCUGAGGGCUACAUUGUAUGUCCUACAUAUUCUUCUCAAAUACGGAGCGGAGUUGAAAGAUAUACUUGAACCUGCUCUUUCAACUGUUCCUUUGUCACCCUGGCAGGAAGUAACUCCUCAAUUGUUUGCUCGGUUAAGUUCUCAUCCUGAGCAAGUGGUUCGGAAGCAGUUGGAGGGCUUACUGAUGAUGCUGGCCAAGCAAUCUCCUUGGUCCAUUGUCUACCCAACACUAGUUGAUGUGGAUGCUUAUGAAGAGAAGCCCUCAGAGGAGCUUCAGCACAUACUUGGUUGUUUGAGUGAACUAUAUCCAAGAUUGAUUCAGGAUGUUCAGCUUGUGAUAAAUGAGCUGGGAAACGUUACUGUUCUUUGGGAGGAGCUAUGGCUCAGCACACUUCAAGAUAUUCACACAGAUGUCAUGAGGCGCAUAAACGUGCUGAAAGAGGAAGCUGCACGAAUUGCAGAAAAUGUUACUCUUAGCCAGAGUGAGAAAAACAAGAUAAAUGCUGCUAAAUAUUCAGCUAUGAUGGCUCCUAUUGUUGUGGCCUUGGAACGUCGUCUAGCUUCUACAUCUCGGAAACCUGAAACACCUCAUGAAGUAUGGUUCCAUGAGGAGUAUAAAGAUCGGUUGAAAUCAGCCAUCAUGGCCUUCAAGACCCCUCCAGCAUCCGCUGCAGCACUUGGUGAUGCAUGGCGUCCAUUUGAUAAUAUUGCUGCAUCCUUAGGAUCUUAUCAGAGGAAGUUAUCAAUUCCUUUAAGGGAAGUUGCACCACAACUGGCUUUACUAUCAUCGUCUGAUGUUCCAAUGCCUGGUCUUGAGAAGCAAGACACAGUCUCUGAAGCUGACAGAGGUCUCAGUGCUAAUCUUCAGGGAAUUGUCACCAUUGCUUCAUUCUCUGAGGAGGUGGCUAUCAUAUCAACCAAGACUAAACCUAAGAAACUAGUUAUUCUUGGUUCAGAUGGUCAAAAGUACACAUAUCUCUUGAAGGGCAGGGAAGAUCUCCGCCUAGAUGCCAGAAUCAUGCAGCUCUUGCAAGCUAUAAAUGGUUUUCUGCAUACAUCUCUUGCAACUCAUAGUCACUUUCUUGGUGUUCGCUAUUAUUCUGUGACUCCAAUUAGUGGCCGGGCUGGCCUCAUCCAGUGGGUGGACAAUGUAAUUAGUAUAUACAGUGUCUUUAAGUCCUGGCAAAACCGCAUCCAAUUAGCUCAGCUGUCAGCAGUGGGCGGCAGCAGUUCAAAAAGUUCUGUUCCUCUAGCUGUUCCCCGACCCAGUGAUAUGUUCUAUGGUAAAAUCAUACCAGCGCUCAAAGAGAAAGGUAUAAGGAGAGUAAUUUCACGAAGAGACUGGCCUCAUGAGGUGAAGCGUAAAGUUCUUCUGGAACUUAUGAAGGAGACUCCUAGACAACUUCUUUAUCAAGAACUUUGGUGUGCUAGUGAAGGAUUCAAAGCGUUCAGUUCAAAACAGAAGAGGUUUUCUGGAAGUGUUGCUGCCAUGAGCAUGGUGGGCCAUAUUCUUGGCCUUGGGGAUAGACACUUGGAUAAUAUUCUAAUGGAUUUCUGUAGUGGUGAUAUAGUACAUAUUGAUUACAAUGUUUGUUUUGAUAAAGGGCAAAGAUUAAAAAUUCCAGAAAUUGUUCCCUUCCGCCUUACACAGAUCAUUGAAGCAGCUUUAGGGAUGACUGGGAUAGAAGGUACCUUCAGGUCAAACUGUGAAGCAGUUAUUGGUGUUUUGAGGAAGAACAAAGACAUACUCUUGAUGUUACUUGAAGUGUUUGUUUGGGAUCCUCUUGUGGAAUGGACACGGGGAGAUUUUCAUGAUGAUGCUGCAAUUGCUGGUGAAGAAAGGAAGGGCAUGGAGUUGGCUGUCAGUCUGAGUUUAUUUGCAUCUCGUGUGCAGGAAAUUCGUGUUCCCUUACAGGAGCACCAUGAUCUUUUAUUGGCUACUCUACCAGCUGUUGAAUCUGCUCUUGAGAGGUUUGCUGAUGUUCUAAACCAAUAUGAACUUACAUCUGCACUCUUUUAUCGAGCUGAUCAAGAGAGAUCUAACCUAAUUCUGCACGAGACAUCUGCGAAGUCAAUGGUUGCUGAAGCAACUAGCAAUUCAGAGAAAAUUCGUGCUUCGUUUGAAAUUCAGGCUCGAGAAUUUGCUCAGGCGAAGGCCUUGGUUGCUGAGAAAUCUCAGGAGGCAGCAACCUGGAUGGAACAACAUGGAAGCAUCCUCGAUGCUUUACGAAGCAAUUUACUUCAAGAAAUAAAUGCCUUUGUAAAGCUGAGUAGUAUGCAGGAAAUCUUGUCUCUUACAUCUGCCGUCCUGGUGGCUGGGGUUCCACUGACCAUUGUUCCUGAGCCUACACAAGCACAAUGCUAUGAUAUAGAUAGGGAAGUCUCUCAACUAGUAUCUGAAUUCGACGAUGGACUCUCUUCUGCGAUAAAUGCACUUCAAGUGUAUUCUUUGGCUUUGCAAAGAAUUUUACCAUUGAAUUACAUUACAACGAGUGCAGUUCAUGGCUGGGCACAGGCUCUGCAGCUAUCUGCAAGUGCUCUUUCCUCUGAUAUCCUUUCUCUUGCUAGAAGACAGGGUGCUGAACUUAUUUCCAAAGUACAUGGGGAUAAUACUGAUUCUAUCAAACACAGUCAUGAUGAUAUGUGUCUUAAAGUGAAAAAGUAUGCUCUAGAGAUAGAGAAGCUUGAAGAGGAGUGUGCUGAACUAGUGAACUCUAUUGGCUCGGAGACUGAAUCAAAGGCUAAGGAUCGGCUUUUGUCUGCUUUUAUGAAAUACAUGCAAUCUGCUGGUCUUGCAAAGAAAGAAGAUGCUAUUCUUUCCAUUCAAUUUGGGCAAUCUAAAUAUGAUGGGAAUGGGACAAAGGAUGCUAAAUUGCGUGGGGAGCUAAAUGAGAAAAAGGAAAAGGUUUUGUUUGUUCUGAACUCAGCAGCCAGUUAUUUGUACAAUGAAAUCAAGCACAAGGUGCUCGAUAUAUUCAAUGACUCAAAUAAACGGAGAAAUGCAAACAACCAGUUACAAUAUGAAUUUGAAACUAUUUUCUGUGGGUUUGAAGAGCAAGUAGAGAAGUGUGUACUUCUAGCAGGGUUUGUUAAUGAACUUCAGCAACUGAUUGGUAGAGAUGGACCUAGUGGUGGUGACACAGAUAAAGACCAUCCAGGAUAUUACUCUGAUAGAAAUUGGGCCUCCAUUUUUAAAACCAUUUUACUUUCCUGCAAGAGCUUGAUUGGGCAAAUGACUGAAGCUGUUCUUCCAGAUGUUAUAAGAUCUGCAGUUUCACUGAAUUCUGAAGUCAUGGAUGCAUUUGGACUAAUCUCACAAAUUCGUGGUACUAUUGAUACAGUACUUGAGCAAUUUAUAGAGGUAGAGAUGGAGAGGGCAUCUUUAGUUGAACUGGAACAGAAUUACUUUUUUAAGGUUGGUCUCAUUACUGAGCAGCAGUUGGCUCUUGAAGAAGCUGCCAUGAAAGGCAGAGAUCAUCUUUCAUGGGAAGAGGCAGAGGAGCUUGCAUCCCAAGAAGAAGCUUGUAGGGCACAGCUGGAUCAACUCCAUCAAACUUGGAACCAAAGGGAUUUGCGCACUUCCUCUCUCAUAAAGAGAGAAUCAGAUAUAAAGAAUGCCCUGGCUACUUCUGCCCACCAUUUUCACUCUCUAGUUGGCGUCAAAGAGGAAAGAGAACUGCGUGUCUCAAAAAGCAAAGUGCUAUUGUCGAUGCUUGUUAAGCCCUUUACUGAUUUGGAAUCAAUUGAUAAAGUGUUUUCUUCAUUUGGAUUCACUUCUCACUCAAAUGAGAUUUCUAAUUUAGCAGAUUUGAUGAGUUCAGGGUACCCAAUAUCUGAAUACGUUUGGAAGUUUGGCAGCUCAUUGAAUCAUCAUUCUUUCUUUGUUUGGAAAUUAGGGGUUAUUGAUUCUUUUCUUGAUUCCUGCCUAAAUGACGUAGCUUCAUCUGUGGAUCAAACUUUAGGGUUUGACCAGCUCUACAAUGUUGUUAAGAGAAAGCUUGAAAUGCAACUUCAAGAACAUCUUGGUCGAUACCUAAAAGAACGAGUUGGCCCUAGUUUAUUGGCUUGCGUAGAUAAAGAAAAUGAGCGUUUGAAGCAACUGACAGAGGCUACAAAGGAAGUUUCUCUUGAUCAAGUUAAAAGAGAUGUUGGGGCUCUGAAAAGGGUUCAGCUUAUGCUUGAGGAAUUCUGCAAUGCACAUGAAACUGCCAGAGCAGCAAGGGUAGCUGCAUCUCUAAUGAAUAAGCAAGUGAAUGAGCUCAGAGAGGCUCUUUGGAAGACUGGCCUAGAGAUUGUUCAGUUGGAAUGGAUGCAUGAUGCUACUUUGAACCCUUCUCACAGUAGCAGGGUCAUGUUUCAGAAAUUUCUUUCUGGUGAUGAUAGUUUAUACCCUAUCGUCUUAAAACUGAGCAGACCUAACGUGUUGGAAAGUUUACAAUCUGCUGUGUCAAAGAUAGCUAGGUCUAUGGAGUCACUGCAAGCUUGUGAACGAACUUCUCUUGCAGCUGAAGGGCAGCUUGAGAGAGCAAUGGGAUGGGCCUGUGGUGGCCCAAACUCCAGUGCAACGGGAAAUAAUUCAAGCAAGACUUCUGGAAUUCCUCCCGAAUUUCAUGACCAUCUAAUGAGGCGAAGGAAACUACUAAGGCAAGCUAGAGAAAAGGCAUCAGAUGUUAUAAAAAUUUGCGUGUCUAUAUUGGAGUUUGAAGCAUCAAGAGACGGUAUUUUCCAUUCUCCUGGAGAGAUCUAUCCAUUCAGGACUAGUGCAGAUGGUCGAACAUGGCAGCAAGCUUACUUGAAUGCACUAAAAAGAUUGGAUAUUACUUACCAUUCUUUUGCUCGCACUGAACAAGAAUGGAAGGUUGCAGAAAGGACCAUGGAAACUGCUUCCAGUGGAUUGUCUUCUGCAACCAACGAACUUAGUGUUGCCUCUCUUAGAGCAAAGUCAGCUUCAGGUGAUUUACAAAGCACCGUGCUUGCAAUGAGUGACUGUGCAUGCGAAGCCAGUGUCGCACUGAGUGCAUAUGCCCGUGUGUCAAAUCGUCAUUCUGCUUUGACUUCUGAAUGUGGUUCCAUGCUUGAAGAGGUUCUUGCAAUAACUGAAGAUCUACAUGAUGUUCACAGUCUUGGAAAGGAGGCUGCUGCAGUACACUGUUCUCUUGUACAAGAGCUCUCAAAGGCAAAUGCAAUUCUUCUUCCACUGGAAACAGUGUUGUCCAAGGAUGUAGCUGCCAUGACUGAUGCUAUGGCUAGGGAAAGGGAGAACAAUAUGGAAAUAUCUCCCAUUCAUGGACAAGCAAUAUACCAGUCUUAUUCUUUAAGAAUUAGGGAGGCUCGUCAGGCCAUAGAGCCUUUGGUGCCCUCCCUUACAUCAUCUGUGAAGGGGCUCUAUUCCAUGUUGACUAGGCUUGCACGAACUGCAAGUCUCCAUGCUGGGAAUCUUCAUAAAGCUCUUGAAGGACUGGGAGAAAGUCAGGAAGUAGAAUCACCAGUAAUUGAUGUAUCGAGGCCGGAUCUUGCUGCUGAUGCUACUGGAUUUGACGAAAAGGAGGAGAAAGAGAGCCUCUCCACGUCAAAUGGUGAAAGCACCAAAGAUUUUCUUGGCAUUACUGGACUUACUUUGGAAGCUAAAGGAUGGUUAUCUCCGCCAGAUAGUAUCUGCAGUAGUAGUACAGAAUCUGGCAUUACCUUAGCUGAAGAGAGUUUUCCAGGUAGCUUCAAUGAUCCAGAAGAUAUAGGACAACAGCUUUUGCUUGGGCCUAGCAGCAGAGAGGCUACAGAUUAUCAAAAUACCGCUCCUUACUCUCAAAGUGAUAACCAAGAAAUCACAGAUUCUGCGCAGUUUGAAUCAAAGUACACAGAGGUUGAUAACAUUCAUAUUGUUUCUUUCAAGUCAACACUUAGUGACCCAAAUGAAUAUCCCCAGGCUGUGGCAUCACCAAAUGAUGAAUCUGCAACUGUUGGUCCUGAAAUUUCGCGUCCUUCAAAUGAGAACACACAGGAGAAGUUUGGGAGUAAAGAGGAAAUAUCUUCACUAAACAAGGUCAAAAUUAAGGAUGAAAAUCGUGAUGCUAUGCAGGCUUCUAGCCGAGUAGGCAGGGGUAAAAACCCUUACGCAAUGUCGGUCUUGAGGCGAGUUGAGAUGAAACUAGAUGGUCGAGAUAUUGCUGAGAACAGAGAAAUUAGCAUCUCAGACCAAGUUGACUAUCUACUUAAGCAGGCCACUAGUGUAGACAAUCUUUGCAACAUGUAUGAAGGUUGGACACCAUGGAUUUGAACUUGUGAAGAUGAUGUGUUUCCAAGUCUGUUUACAGAGAGCAAAAAACAGUGUCAGGAAUGUUGGGGUGGUUCAUUUUUGCCGUGCAUAAUCAGACAAUCGAGCAUGGAACCUUUUGCAUCCUUGGCAAACUUUAGCAACCCCGGCUUUCUGUUCGUUUCAAAUCUCAUGGGCCCUGAUCAUUAAAUGUGCCAUGGUUAUCUUUGGAAAGAAACUGGCCACGAAUGUCCAAUGACUGCAUUAGGCAUGUGCCCACCCUAUAACGGUCAGCAGUUAAUUAGGCUGAAGACAUGUGGUGCCUUGAAGAAAUUAAGGAAUGUUUCAUGCGAACCAGUCUUGCAGCUUAAAGCUGAACUCAAUUUCCGAACAAAACAAGGGCUUGCUUAGCUGCCUGCACUGCUUUAGUCCUUUUAUGAAGAUGGGACAACCUCACACUACCAUCCAAAGUAGAAAACUGUUGGAGGUUUGAAAAAGGUUUUUCAACAGUUGCAAUUUAAAGGAUUUUGGAUUUGUGGCAGCUCGCUUGCAUGGUGUAUCACAUUUGCUUAUCUCUGCUCCAUUCUCAGUAUCUCCAAAAGCAGUCUCUAGAAAACCAACACGAGCUCCGUAUCGCAAAUUUGCUUACCAAUUUUAUUUUUCCACAGGUUGCGUUUCAGAAAGAGCAGGAUCUUCAUCUCUGCAGGAAUUCCAAAACUACAACACAACCUGAAAUGCUUAGUUUUUGGACAGUGCUAUCCUCUUUCAUAGUUGGAAACUUGGAGAGUUCCCUUUUAACAUUUUUUCUUCUUCUUCUAGAUUUCUUCUGUGUUGGGGGAGGAUGGUAAGAAUGACAGUUGAAACUAACCAAACAGAGCAGUGGUAUUCUUAAUAAAAAGAUGCACUAAACUAAAUCCAGUCCUCUUUUGAUAAAAUCUGAUCCAGAUUUUGGAACUCAGUUUGACUCUCGGGAAUCGUAUUUAUUAUUAUCAUUCUCUGAAGGGCGACCAAAUACUGGAGAAAGAUUUGCAUGUCACGAGGAUAGCAAAACAUCUCCAUCCAAUUAUGCUCCAUCGUGUGGAAUCUAUAUCACGCAUAUUAAAGCGUGAUUGAUUGGGAAUAGCAAAAUAGUGUUAUUCUCAUAAUAUACAAGUUUUUCUCCAAGUACUGAUUUGGGACUACCCUUGUUUGUGUGUAUGGCCAGACUGGUGAUAUAGUCUACUUGCCGGACCAAAGAAUUUCUCUUACUUAACCUAACUAAAGUUACGAUUUUGGGCCAUCAGAAAAAGAAAUAUAGGAAGCCUUAUGAGAUCCAUAGGAUAAGUAAAUGCCCAAUGUUUUCAUUUCCAUAUCGUUCUAUUCUAUUACCACUAGCUAGCUUACCGUGGUUUUUGGGACUUCCUGUGGCCAGACAAGAAAGUUGAAUGAAACCGACCAACGUAGGUGUUUGUUUCUAUAAAAACAAGCCCACAGAGAGAGAGAUAUAUAUAUAUAUAUAUAUAUAUAUAUAUAUAUAUACAACCUUAUAUAUAGAACCUACCAAGUUCCCUAAAAUUAUCCGACACAAAAAGCUUCAAAAUUAUCCAACCCCGAAAGCUUCAAAAUCUCCCCCUUUCUAAUUUCACAAGCAUUUCAAGGUUUAAGAUAUUCAGUCAUGUCUGCAGUGGCAAGUAUAUGGAGUAGUGAGAUGAACAAGCGGACCCGAAAGGAUCAAACCCUUGCCUCUAAUGCCUCUAAUGCCUCUAAUGCCUCGGGCUCAACUGAUGCUGGGUCUAGCCAGGAGGUGCAAGCAAAAGGAGGGAUCAACUCAACUGUCUUAGCUCCGUUUUUCGGCCGAGUCGUGGGUGCCAACUCGAUUUUGACUAUCUAUUCUGAGGCUUCAAUUUCCAUGCUUGUUGAUUGGUUUAGCGCUUGAAGGAUGUUGCUUCACCAUCUCUGUUUCUUUAUCUUCGUUUUCUCUUUAAGUAUUCAAUAAAAGUAUUGUACAGUUUUCAACACUGAAAUUAUGACUUAAGGCCAGUAGUUUUUUUAAUA